GCCGCUUCCGCCGCCGCGCUUCCGGCUUCCGCCGCGCGGGGCAGGCCGGGCGGGCCGGGCCCUGAGGGGAGGGAGCCCGCGGUCCCCGGGGACGGGCCCGGCUCGGCCGGAGCCUGCCCGCCGCCGCACCGCCAGCGGGCCGCUUGCGGCGACAGAACAAAGGCCUGGGUGUGGUGCCUGCCCGCGCCGCCGGAGAGCGGCAGCGGGAGAACGCUAGUUGUGCUGAAGUGGGGGGGUUGCCCCCGAACGCACCGAGGAUGAAUGCGUGAGGUAGAAAUCACUCAGCUGUGAUCAUCGGAUUGGAACUGAAAGAAAUAUACGGGUUCUCAGUAACAAAUUUUUUUUUAAAGAAGAAAAACAACAGUAAAGAAGAUCAAAGAGAAAAAAGGAAAUAAAUGAGGAGACCGUGGCUGGAUAAGUCCCGUUCCAGUGCAGUGACCCUUUCCUUCGGCCGAGAGAGCCCCUCGCUCUCAGGCCCGGGGGAACGAGGGCUCUGAGCGGCUGCUGGGGUCUGAACAACUCCAAAACUCAGACAGAGGAGAUAACUCACCUGCCAGGUCCAUUGCAUUGGCUAGCUAAGGGCUUCCUAUCCUGCCCACUCUGAAAGCAGCAGAGGCAGUGACUACAGAAGAGCCCUGCAGGACUGAUGUGAUGAAACUGUGCCUGCUGACCCAUGGAAGACCAGCUGAAAUGCCUGAACUCCACUUCCCAGUUUUGCUCAAGCAAGAAGGGAAAUGUAGGUAUCAGCCUGGGGCUCCAGAGGACUCAGCUCCAGCAAACUCUACAGCCACCCAUGGGUAACCACACAGUAUGUGAGUGCCUGACUCUCCUCUUAUUCUGCUUCUACACACCCAAAAGAAUUACUGAUAUAAAUGGUUCUAACAUCAGUUCUCCAAGACACUGCAUUUUUCAACCCAAUCAGGUACUGUUCCCAAGAACCGGCCUGCAGUUUUGUGGCACUGCAGUGGAAACCACCCCUCUCUCCCCACAAUCAAAACUAGAAAUGAAUUAAAUUAUUUCAAUUAUCAAUCCCUGCUUUAACUUUCUCUCCCCCUUUUAGUUUGUUUUUUUUUUUUUACCAAAAAACAAUGAAAAAAUUUUGUUGUAGAUUGAGUUGCCCAAGUCAAACACCAGUCUUGCUUUAUUACAGUACAGACAAAAUAAUCAAACUUAUGUGGCACCAUACUUGUCCCACCUGCAAAUCACAAGCUAAAUCACAAGCUUCCAUGUUAAAGUUAUAUUUGAUACUUACCAAUGUAUUAUGUAGGAACAAGGUAUUUUGCUGGAGAUUUUUUGUAAAUUUUACAGCCUUUUUUUUACAGCAGUGGAAAUUCAAAAAAUUUCAAGAGGCACCAGAUUGUGAAUACACUCAUGUAAGAGUAUGAACCAUCAUACCAUCAAUUACUACUAUCAUUACUAAUUUUAGCUUGGCUCAGUGUUUGAGCCCAAACACAUUCUGACAGCAGCUCCAGAGCUGGGCAAGAAGCUUGCACGUGGAGAAGUCAUGCCCUGUUAGGAAAUGCAUUUACAUGAAUGCCUAGAAGGUUUUAUUUAACAGGACCUGGGUAGGCAAGCUGAACAACACACCGCAGAAAUCCUAACACUGCAAGACCCAAGAGUCUCGUGAACAGAAUCAGCUGAUACUCAAGAUGGGUGGUUUUUGUCCUGGAAUCAAAAGCAGGGUCAAGAUCCAUGCACCACUUGAAUCAAAAAAUCACUUAACUCGACUUUCCUUUUUUUUGACCAAGACCCCAACGUUAAUUGCUUGUCCACAGUCUCUUUCAUAAAGUACAUUAUACGUAACGUGUGAUCUGAGGAAACCUCUUCAGGAGCUUGUUCACUUUGCUUGAAGGCAAAUUUCCCUUGGAUGACAGGGU
Passer montanus (Eurasian tree sparrow) is the source of this 1877-nucleotide long non-coding RNA. RefSeq lists it as uncharacterized. NCBI's taxonomy places the organism in Eukaryota, Metazoa, Chordata, Aves, Passeriformes, Passeridae. The record is from RefSeq and is a predicted model, not a curated record. The transcript has 3 exons.